GCCAGCAGCCAUACCACCCUGCAGCUCACAUCUGACAACCCACUGAAGCUAAGCAGGUGUGAGCCUGGUCAAUACCUGGAUGAGAGAGCUCCUGGGAAAAACUAAGGUUGCUGCUGGAA
RNAcentral lists this ribosomal RNA (119 nucleotides) under Lepisosteus oculatus (spotted gar). The record is from RNAcentral. Lineage: Eukaryota; Metazoa; Chordata; Actinopteri; Semionotiformes; Lepisosteidae.